This 203-nucleotide ribosomal RNA is filed under the name uncultured bacterium. RNAcentral's name for it is "partial 16S ribosomal RNA". It matches the Rfam family "Bacterial small subunit ribosomal RNA", at positions 144 to 334 of the family's 1533-position model. The record is from RNAcentral.
UACCUCGGGGAAACUCGAGCUAAUACCGCAUGACAUCGUUUGGGACGAAAGUCCUGACGAUCAAAGCGGGGUCGCAAGAUCUCGCGCUACCGGAUGGGCCCGCGCCCGAUUAGCUAGUUGGUGAGGUAACGGCUCACCAAGGCUUCGAUCGGUAACCGGCCUGAGAGGGCGAUCGGUCACACCGGAACUGAGACACGGUCCGG